UACGGAGGAUCCAAGCGUUAUCCGGAUUUAUUGGGUUUAAAGGGUGCGUAGGCGGCCUGUUAAGUCAGGGGUGAAAGACGGUAGCUUAACUAUCGCAGUGCCCUUGAUACUGAUGGGCUUGAAUGAACUAGAGGUAGGCGGAAUGUGACAAGUAGCGGUGAAAUGCAUAGAUAUGUCACAGAACACCAAUUGCGAAGGCAGCUUACUAUGGUUUUAUUGACACUGAUGCACGAAAGCGUGGGGAUCAAACAGG
This 253-nucleotide ribosomal RNA is filed under the name uncultured bacterium. RNAcentral's name for it is "partial 16S ribosomal RNA". It matches the Rfam family "Bacterial small subunit ribosomal RNA", at positions 524 to 776 of the family's 1533-position model. The record is from RNAcentral.